Molecule: ribosomal RNA, 382 nt
Filed under: uncultured bacterium
Lineage: Bacteria
Description: bacterial SSU rRNA
Rfam family: Bacterial small subunit ribosomal RNA
Source: RNAcentral
CGCAAUGGGCGAAAGUCUGACGGAGCGACGCCGCGUGAUUGAUGAAGCUUUUCGGAGUGUAAAGAUCUUUUAUGAGGGAAGAAGUUUAUUGACGGUACCUCAUGAAUAAGGGGCUCCUAAUCUCGUGCCAGCAGGAGCGGUAAUACGAGAGCCCCGAGCGUUAUCCGGAAUUAUUGGGCGUAAAGGGUGCGUAGGUUGUUUUGUUAGUCGUUUGUCAAAUCUCUGGGCUUAACCCAGAAACCGCGAACGAAACGGCAAAACUAGAAAGUGUGAGGGGUGUACAGAACUCAUGGUGUAGGGGUGAAAUCCGUUGAUAUCAUGGGGAAUACCAAAAGCGAAGGCAGUACACUGGCACAUAUUUGACACUCAAGCACGAAAGCGU